This 1036-nucleotide ribosomal RNA is filed under the name uncultured bacterium. RNAcentral describes it as "bacterial SSU rRNA". It matches the Rfam family "Bacterial small subunit ribosomal RNA", at positions 8 to 1078 of the family's 1533-position model. The record is from RNAcentral.
AGAGUUUGAUCCUGGCUCAGAUUGAACGCUGGCGGCACGCUUAACACAUGCAAGUCGAACGGCAGCAUGAUCUAGCUUGCUAGAUUGAUGGCGAGUGGCGGACGGGUGAGUAAUGCGUAGGAAUCUGCCUUGGAGUGGGGGAUAACUCGGGGAAACUCGAGCUAAAACCGCAUAUAUUCUUCGGAAUAAAGCGCCUUCGGGUGCUGCUUUAAGAUGAGCCUACGUCGGAUUAGCUAGUUGGUGGGGUAAAAGCCUACCAAGGCGACGAUCCGUAGCUGGUCUGAGAGGAUGGUCAGCCACACUGGGACUGAGACACGGCCCAGACUCCUACGGGAGGCAGCAGUGGGGAAUAUUGGACAAUGGGGGCAACCCUGAUCCAGCGAUGCCGCGUGUGUGAAGAAGGCCUGCGGGUUGUAAAGCACUUUAGGUGGUGAGGAAUAGCUUGGUUUUAAUAGAGCCGAGUGAUGACGUUAGCCACAGAAUAAGCACCGGCUAACUCUGUGCCAGCAGCCGCGGUAAUACAGAGGGUGCGAGCGUUAAUCGGACUUACUGGGCGUAAAGGGUGCGUAGGCGGCGAAUUAAGUCAGUUGUGAAAGGCCAGGGCUCAACCUUGGAAUGGCAAUUGAUACUGGUUUGCUAGAGUCGAGUAGAGGGGAGUGGAAUUUCCGGUGUAGCGGUGAAAUGCGUAGAUAUCGGAAGGAACACCAGUGGCGAAAGCGACUCCCUGGACUCAGACUGACGCUGAGGCACGAAAGCGUGGGUAGCGAACAGGAUUAGAUACCCUGGUAGUCCACGCUGUAAACGAUGAGUACUAGCUGUUGGUGUCCAUGAGCAUCAGUAGCGCAGCUACGCAUUAAGUACUCCGCCUGGGACUACGCGCAGCUAAACUCAAGGAAUUGACGGGGCCGCACAGCGUGGAGCAUGUGGUUUAAUCGAUGCACGCGAGACUACUACCUGACAUCUGCGAUCUACAAAUGUAGAUGCUUCGCAUGCCAGACAGUGCUGCAUGCUGUCGUCACUCUGUCUGGAAUGUUGG